GGAGUUGAUAAGUCGAGCUCAGUUUUGAGAGCGCUCCGAUGCAAUCGGAGAGGUCGGGGGUUCGACUCCCCCUGGCUCCA
Molecule: transfer RNA, 80 nt
Filed under: Thermus scotoductus
Lineage: Bacteria; Thermotogati; Deinococcota; Deinococci; Thermales; Thermaceae
Also listed under: 1 other name
Description: tRNA-Cys
Rfam family: tRNA (bases 16-72)
About the family: Transfer RNA (tRNA) molecules are approximately 80 nucleotides in length. Their secondary structure includes four short double-helical elements and three loops (D, anti-codon, and T loops).
Source: RNAcentral